CUGCCCGUAGCACAAUGGAUAAUGCGUUGGACUCCGACUCCAAAGACUGCCGGUUCGACCCCGGCCGGGCAGGCCA
This 76-nucleotide transfer RNA is filed under the name Bacteroides sp. RNAcentral's name for it is "tRNA-Arg". It matches the Rfam family "tRNA". Rfam says of the family: Transfer RNA (tRNA) molecules are approximately 80 nucleotides in length. Their secondary structure includes four short double-helical elements and three loops (D, anti-codon, and T loops). The record is from RNAcentral. RNAcentral also lists the same sequence under 3 other names. Lineage: Bacteria; Pseudomonadati; Bacteroidota; Bacteroidia; Bacteroidales; Bacteroidaceae.